This 257-nucleotide ribosomal RNA is filed under the name uncultured bacterium. Its description in RNAcentral is "partial 16S ribosomal RNA". It matches the Rfam family "Bacterial small subunit ribosomal RNA", at positions 524 to 776 of the family's 1533-position model. The record is from RNAcentral.
UACAGAGGUGCCAAGCGUUAGGCGGAAUCACUGGGCUUAAAGCGCGUGUAGGUGGGUCGUUAAGUGUCCGCGUGAAAUCCCACGGCUCAACCGUGGAACUGCCGGGCAUACUGGCGAUCUUGAGGCAUUCAGGGGCGAGCGGAACAAAUGGUGGAGCGGUAAAAUGUGUAGAUAUAUGGAAGAACACCAAUAACGGCGAAGGCAGUUAACUAUUCUGUUACUGACAUUGAGGCACGAAAGCGUGGGGAGCAAAACGG